UGGCGGCGUGCCUAAUACAUGCAAGUCGAGCGGAGUUUUUAAAAGCUUGCUUUUAAAAACUCAGCGGCGGACGGGUGAGUAACACGUGGGCAACCUGCCCUGUAGACUGGGAUAACUUCGGGAAACCGAAGCUAAUACCGGAUAAUCAUAGAAGUUGCAUAGCUUCUAUGUAAAAGUUGGGUUUACCUAACACUACAGGAUGGGCCCGCGUCGCAUUAGCUAGUUGGUAAGGUAACGGCUUACCAAGGCGACGAUGCGUAGCCGACCUGAGAGGGUGAUCGGCCACACUGGGACUGAGACACGGCCCAGACUCCUACGGGAGGCAGCAGUAGGGAAUCUUCCGCAAUGGACGAAAGUCUGACGGAGCAACGCCGCGUGAGCGAUGAAGGCCUUCGGGUCGUAAAGCUCUGUUGUUAGGGAAGAACAAGUGCUAUUCGAAUAGGGUGGCACCUUGACGGUACCUAACGAGAAAGCCACGGCUAACUACGUGCCAGCAGCCGCGGUAAUACGUAGGUGGCGAGCGUUGUCCGGAAUUACUGGGCGUAAAGGAUGCGUAGGUGGAUACUUAAGUGGGAUGUGAAAUCCCCGGGCUCAACCCGGGAACUGCAUUCCAAACUGGGUAUCUAGAGUGCAGGAGAGGAAAGCGGAAUUCCUAGUGUAGCGGUGAAAUGCGUAGAUAUUAGGAGGAACACCAGUGGCGAAGGCGGCUUUCUGGACUGUAACUGACACUGAGGCAUGAAAGCGUGGGUAGCAAACAGGAUUAGAUACCCUGGUAGUCCACGCCGUAAACAGAUGGGUAGUAGGUGUAGGAGGUAUCGACCCCUUCUGUGCCGUCGUUAACACAAUAAGUACCCCGCCUGGGGAGUACGGUCGCAAGACUAAAACUCAAAGGAAUUGACGGGGGCCCGCACAAGCAGCGGAGCAUGUGGUUUAAUUCGAAGCAACGCGAAGAACCUUACCUAGACUUGACAUCUCCUGAAUUACCCUUAAUCGGGGAAGCCCUUCGGGGCAGGAAGACAGGUGGUGCAUGGUUGUCGUCAGCUCGUGUCGUGAGAUGUUGGGUUAAGUCCCGCAACGAGUGCAACCCUUAUUUUUAGUUGCUACCAUUUAGUUGAGCACUCUAAAGAGACUGCCCGGGUUAACCGGGAGGAAGGUGGGGAUGACGUCAAAUCAUCAUGCCCCUUAUGUCUAGGGCUACACACGUGCUACAAUGGUGAGAACAAAGAGACGCGAGACCGCGAGGUGGAGCAAAUCUCAUAAAACUCAUCCCAGUUCGGAUUGCAGGCUGAAACUCGCCUGCAUGAAGCCGGAGUUGCUAGUAAUCGCGAAUCAGCAUGUCGCGGUGAAUACGUUCCCGGGCCUUGUACACACCGCCCGUCACACCAUGAGAGUUGGCAAUACCCGAAGUGCCGUGGGGCAACCAGCAAUGGAGCCAGCGGCCGAAGGUAGGGUCAAAGAUG
Molecule: ribosomal RNA, 1460 nt
Filed under: uncultured bacterium
Lineage: Bacteria
Description: bacterial SSU rRNA
Rfam family: Bacterial small subunit ribosomal RNA
Source: RNAcentral